UGGGGAAUUUUCCGCAAUGGGCGCAAGCCUGACGGAGCAAUACCGCGUGAGGGAGGACGGCUUUUGGGUUGUAAACCUCUUUUAUCAGGGAAGAAACGAUGACGGUACCUGAUGAAUCAGCAUCGGCUAACUCCGUGCCAGCAGCCGCGGUAAUACGGAGGAUGCAAGCGUUAUCCGGAAUUAUUGGGCGUAAAGCGUCCGUAGGUGGUUUUGUAAGUCUUUUGUCAAAGCGUGCAGCUUAACUGCAUACAGGCGGAGGAAACUACGAAACUAGAGUGCGAUAGGGGUCACAGGAAUUCCCAGUGUAGCGGUGAAAUGCGUAGAUAUUGGGAAGAACACCAGCGGCGAAAGCGUGUGACUGGGUCUGCACUGACACUGAGGGACGAAAGCUAGGGGAGCG
RNAcentral lists this ribosomal RNA (400 nucleotides) under uncultured bacterium. RNAcentral describes it as "bacterial SSU rRNA". It matches the Rfam family "Bacterial small subunit ribosomal RNA", at positions 355 to 770 of the family's 1533-position model. The record is from RNAcentral.